RNAcentral lists this ribosomal RNA (422 nucleotides) under uncultured bacterium. RNAcentral's name for it is "bacterial SSU rRNA". It matches the Rfam family "Bacterial small subunit ribosomal RNA", at positions 355 to 774 of the family's 1533-position model. The record is from RNAcentral.
UGAGGAAUAUUGGACAAUGGGUGGAAGCCUGAUCCAGCCAUCCCGCGUGAAGGAUGACGGUCCUAUGGAUUGUAAACUUCUUUUGUACAGGGAUAAACCUGCCCUCGUGAGGGCAGCUGAAGGUACUGUACGAAUAAGCACCGGCUAACUCCGUGCCAGCAGCCGCGGUAAUACGGAGGGUGCGAGCGUUAUCCGGAUUUAUUGGGUUUAAAGGGUCCGUAGGCGGGCCUGUAAGUCAGUGGUGAAAUUUCAUAGCUUAACUAUGAAACUGCCAUUGAUACUGCAGGCCUUGAGUAAAUUUGAAGUGGCUGGAAUAAGUAGUGUAGCGGUGAAAUGCAUAGAUAUUACUUAGAACACCGAUUGCGAAGGCAGGUCACUAAGAUUUAACUGACGCUGAUGGACGAAAGCGUGGGGAGCGAACA